Ciona savignyi (Pacific transparent sea squirt) is the source of this 85-nucleotide non-coding RNA. NCBI's taxonomy places the organism in Eukaryota, Metazoa, Chordata, Ascidiacea, Phlebobranchia, Cionidae. The record is from Rfam.
GCUUAUCACCAUUCCAGAUUAAAUAUACCCGAUCUCGUCUGAUCUCGGAAGUCAAGCAAUCUCGGGCUUGGUUAGUAGGGGAUGG